GAUCAUGGCUCAGGAUGAACGCUAGCGACAGGCUUAACACAUGCAAGUCGAGGGGAAGCACAGGUAGCAAUACCGGGUGGCGACCGGCGCACGGGUGAGUAACGCGUAUGCAACUUACCUAUCAGAGGGGGAUAACCCGGCGAAAGUCGGAUUAAUACCGCAUGAAGCAGGGGUCCCGCAUGGGGAUAUUUGCUAAAGAUUCAUCGCUGAUAGAUAGGCAUGCGUUCCAUUAGG
RNAcentral lists this ribosomal RNA (234 nucleotides) under uncultured bacterium. Its description in RNAcentral is "partial 16S ribosomal RNA". It matches the Rfam family "Bacterial small subunit ribosomal RNA", at positions 15 to 245 of the family's 1533-position model. The record is from RNAcentral.